UUUUGCUCAAAACGACAAAAAUGCUUCCGUUUCCUUCUCCUAUUGAACCCACUGUCGCCUCUGCUCUCCUCUCCACUACCACACCUCUUUCUCCCCCUCCUUCAAAGUACUUACUUGAUCGAUCAAAACUCGCUUUCUUUUUUUAAUUUCUUCUCGGAUUUCAACCAACGAUUUCGUUUUGGUUGUUUUUUGAGGCUCGGUGUUGAUGGAGAGAAGAAAUCUGCGAAAGAGCAGUAGUGAAGAGGAGAGCUUGAGCUUGGUGUCUAGUGGCUCGAAAUCGUGCGCUUCAUAUCUAACAAUUGAUGGAUCGCGGUUUAAGGAGAUUCGAGGUCACAAGCUCAGGAUCGUCGCUUUCGUGUCUCGCUUCCAUGAAACGAAGCUCAAGUUUAUUUUCGUUUAAUUUUUGCAGAUAGCACGAAGGAGGCACUCGAAGGUGAACCGGAGCUCUGGCCACCAGAGGUCCGUCGUGCUAGCUCCGCCGGAGAAGGCAGCUGCGCUGGUGGCGUCUACAGAGUCAGGUUCGUGUUUGUCAAGUGGUUCCAGCGCGGCUUCAAGCAAGCAAAGCCACUUUAUGAAUACGAACGGAUUGAUGAUGAAGCCGGCCGGCUCGUGAUGAUCAGGAGGAGACGAAGAGGAUCAGAUCUGGCUUUGGCUCGCCUUACAUG
Molecule: RNA transcript, 665 nt
Organism: Populus nigra (black poplar)
Lineage: Eukaryota; Viridiplantae; Streptophyta; Magnoliopsida; Malpighiales; Salicaceae
Exons: 2
Source: RefSeq, a predicted model, not a curated record